Molecule: ribosomal RNA, 478 nt
Filed under: uncultured bacterium
Lineage: Bacteria
Description: SSU rRNA
Rfam family: Bacterial small subunit ribosomal RNA
Source: RNAcentral
AGGAUGAACGCUGGCGGCGUGCUUAACACAUGCAAGUCGAGCGGUGAAGUGAGGAGCUUGCUCCUUGCGGAUCAGUGGCGAACGGGUGAGUAACACGUGAGUAACCUGCCCUUGACUCUGGGAUAAGCGUUGGAAACGACGUCUAAUACCGGAUACGACCUCCGAAGGCAUCUUGUGGAGGUGGAAAGAAUUUCGGUCAAGGAUGGACUCGCGGCCUAUCAGCUAGUUGGUGAGGUAAUGGCCCACCAAGGCGACGAUCAGUAGCUGGUCUGAGAGGAUGAUCAGCCACAUUGGGACUGAGAACGGCCCAGACUCCUACGGGAGGCAGCAGUAGGGAAUUUUCCACAAUGGGCGAAAGCCUGAUGGAGCAACGCCGCGUGCAGGAUGAAGGCCUUAGGGUUGUAAACUGCUUUUAUGUGUGACGAAUAUGACGGUAGCAUAUGAAUAAGGAUCGGCUAACUCCGUGCCAGCAGCCGUA